ACAAGAAUAUCAACCAACGCGUGA
This 24-nucleotide non-coding RNA is filed under the name Arabidopsis thaliana (thale cress). Lineage: Eukaryota; Viridiplantae; Streptophyta; Magnoliopsida; Brassicales; Brassicaceae. The record is from RNAcentral.